GUUAUGCGGUUUUAUCAUAAGUGUUUCUGAUACGCAGACUUUUGCAUAUGCAUGCUCAUUGUCAUAAUAAUCCAUCCUUAGUGUGUCUUUGUCUAUUUCAUUAGUUGGGAAGCGAGCACUAGGCUCUCGUUGAAUAAGGUAACACACACACACCUUAUACACCUACAACGCCGGGGGCUAUCGAGACCUUUUAGAAAUGGUACGCUGUAUUCUUUACCUUAGUCGUAUCAGACCGGGGAUGCUUCAACUGGCAGCUGAUGCCACAGAGGUGAUUGUAGAAAACUUACUAGGUUCAUUGAAGACAAUUGCGUGAUCUAUUAUAUUGAUUACUCUCUCCCGUUGCCCGUACACCAGUUCGCAAUGUUUUGCAAGACUGAAGACCAUAACCACGCAAGUAAAUAGCCUCAUUAAUGUUGACAGCACCGGGAAUAUACCCGUCGCAUGUUUAUGUAGGUGCUACGAACCAAAUAAUAAAAUAGCCUUUUUAUUUAUAAUUGAU
Pieris brassicae (large cabbage white) is the source of this 499-nucleotide long non-coding RNA. RefSeq lists it as uncharacterized. NCBI's taxonomy places the organism in Eukaryota, Metazoa, Arthropoda, Insecta, Lepidoptera, Pieridae. The transcript is spliced from 3 exons. The record is from RefSeq and is a predicted model, not a curated record.